This is a non-coding RNA of Cinara cedri, 201 nucleotides long. Lineage: Eukaryota; Metazoa; Arthropoda; Insecta; Hemiptera; Aphididae. The record is from the annotation of a GenBank genome assembly.
CCGGGACAAACCGCGCGGACGCCGCGUUACGGCGUUACGUUAUCAAUACUGCGGGCUCGCGCUCGCUCGCUACGACGAGUGUUCGGAAGCGGCCGUGCGUCGAGUGUCCGCGGGAGCGUGAACCGCUACGUUACGAUACCGUUGUACGAACAACUUCUCGGGCCGCCGACGAAAUCCGGCGGGACGUUUCGCGGGGUAGAG